Molecule: transfer RNA, 74 nt
Filed under: Candidatus Taylorbacteria bacterium CG11_big_fil_rev_8_21_14_0_20_46_11
Lineage: Bacteria; Candidatus Tayloriibacteriota
Description: tRNA-Gly
Rfam family: tRNA
About the family: Transfer RNA (tRNA) molecules are approximately 80 nucleotides in length. Their secondary structure includes four short double-helical elements and three loops (D, anti-codon, and T loops).
Source: RNAcentral
GCGGGUAUGGUUCAAUGGUAGAACAGAUGGUUGCCAAUCAUCUGAUGGGAGUUCGAUUCUCCCUACCCGCACCA